This 459-nucleotide ribosomal RNA is filed under the name uncultured bacterium. Its description in RNAcentral is "partial 16S ribosomal RNA". It matches the Rfam family "Bacterial small subunit ribosomal RNA", at positions 338 to 795 of the family's 1533-position model. The record is from RNAcentral.
CCUACGGGAGGCAGCAGUGAGGAAUAUUGGUCAAUGGCCGCAGGGCUGAACCAGCCAAGUCGCGUGAGGGAUGACGGUCCUAUGGAUUGUAAACCUCUUUUGUCAGGGAGCAAAGGGCGCCACGUGUGGCGCUUUGCGAGUACCUCAAGAAAAAGCAUCGGCUAACUCCGUGCCAGCAGCCGCGGUAAUACGGAGGAUGCGAGCGUUAUCCGGAUUUAUUGGGUUUAAAGGGUGCGCAGGCGGAAUGUCAAGUCAGCGGUAAAAUUUCGGGGCUCAACCCCGUCGUGCCGUUGAAACUGGUGUUCUUGAGUGAGCGAGAAGUAUGCGGAAUGCGUGGUGUAGCGGUGAAAUGCAUAGAUAUCACGCAGAACUCCGAUUGCGAAGGCAGCAUACCGGCGCUCAACUGACGCUCAUGCACGAAAGCGUGGGUAUCGAACAGGAUUAGAUACCCGAGUAGUC